This 631-nucleotide long non-coding RNA is filed under the name Homo sapiens (human). Its description in RNAcentral is "HSALNT0067683". The record is from RNAcentral. Lineage: Eukaryota; Metazoa; Chordata; Mammalia; Primates; Hominidae.
AGCGUGGGAGGGGCCGGUGUGAGGCAAGGGGCUCACGCUGACCUCUGUCCGCGUGGGAGGGGCCGGUGUGAGACAAGGGGCUCACACCUCUCUCAGCGUGGGAGGGGCCGGUGUGAGGCAAGGAGCUCGGGCUGACCUCUGUCCGCGUGGGAGGGGCCGGUGUGAGGCAAGGGGCUUGGGCUGACCUCUCUCAGCGUGGGAGGGGCCGGUGUGAGACAAGGGGCACGCUGACCUCUCUCAGCAUGGGAGGGGCCGGUGUGAGACAAGGGGCUCGGGCUGACCUCUGUCCGCGUGGGAGGGGCCGGUGUGAGGCAAGGGGCUCACGCUGACCUCUGUCCGCGUGGGAGGGGCCGGUGUGAGGCAAGGGCUCACACUGACCUCUCUCAGCGUGGGAGGGGCCGGUGUGAGACAAGGGGCUCACGCUGACCUCUGUCCACGUGGGAGGGGCCGGGGUGAGGCAAGGGCUCACACUGACCUCUCUCAGCGUGGGAGGGGCCGGUGUGAGGCAAGGGGCUCACGCUGACCUCUGUCCGCGUGGGAGGGGCCGGUGUGAGGCAAGGGCUCACACUGACCUCUCUCAGCGUGGGAGGGGCCGGUGUGAGGCAAGGGGCUCACGCUGACCUCUCUCAAG